Molecule: ribosomal RNA, 460 nt
Filed under: uncultured bacterium
Lineage: Bacteria
Description: partial 16S ribosomal RNA
Rfam family: Bacterial small subunit ribosomal RNA
Source: RNAcentral
CCUACGGGUGGCAGCAGUGAGGAAUAUUGGUCAAUGGCCGGAAGGCUGAACCAGCCAUGCCGCGUGAAGGUCAGUGCCCUAUGGGCGUUAAACUUCUUUUGUGCGGGAGCAAUAAUGGUCACGUGUGGCCAGACGAGAGUACCGUACGAAUAAGCAUCGGCUAACUCCGUGCCAGCAGCCGCGGUAAUACGGGGGAUGCAAGCGUUAUCCGGAGUUAUUGGGGUUAAAGGGUGCGUAGGCUGUGAGGUAAGUCAGCGGUGAAAUGCCCCCGCUCAACGGGGUGAAGGGCCAUUGAUACUGCCUUGCUGGAAUGCGGAUGCCGUGGGAGGAAUGUGUGGUGUAGCGGUGAAAUGCAUAGAUAUCACACAGAACACCGAUUGCGAAGGCAUCUCACGAAUCCGCGAUUGACGCUGAUGCACGAAAGCGUGGGUAUCAAACAGGAUUAGAUACCCCUGUAGUC